GGGGGCGUAGCUCAGUUGGUAGAGCACAUGGUUUGCAACCAUGGGGUCGAGGGUUCGAGUCCCUUCGCCUCCACCA
This 76-nucleotide transfer RNA is filed under the name Planctomycetota bacterium. RNAcentral describes it as "Planctomycetes bacterium (freshwater metagenome) tRNA-Ala". It matches the Rfam family "tRNA". Rfam says of the family: Transfer RNA (tRNA) molecules are approximately 80 nucleotides in length. Their secondary structure includes four short double-helical elements and three loops (D, anti-codon, and T loops). The record is from RNAcentral. Lineage: Bacteria; Pseudomonadati; Planctomycetota.